Long non-coding RNA from Esox lucius (northern pike), 1612 nucleotides. NCBI's taxonomy places the organism in Eukaryota, Metazoa, Chordata, Actinopteri, Esociformes, Esocidae. The record is from Ensembl.
AUGGUGCAAUUCAGAGGUGUUGCCGUUGCUAGGAUCACAAUACUUUCAGGCCGCCUGUGAGUGCUUUCAGAUGGGGGAGGGGCCCACGGCUGCACCCGCUGCUCGUUGAGAAGAGUAAGAACAAGUCUCCAAUAACACCACAAAAAGUCGCAUGAUUUGUCGCUAGUCGCUUUUUUGAAAAAAAGUCACUAAGGAGGUCUGAAAAGUCACUAUAUCUAGCGACAUAGUCGCAAAGUUGGCAACACUGAAUCUAGAAUGAGAGAGCAGACUCUGCUGGGUAACUCAUACUUCUGUUUCGUCAAUUCCAUUUCAGUCUUAUCUAGAACCCAAGCAGAUGACAGUGCUCCAGCAGGGGACCCCAAACUUCCCUUUCCCGAGCCACAUUUGCCAGCUCUGACUGGGGGAUCCCGAGGCAUUCCCAGCCCAGUGUCGAAAUAUAAUCUCUCCACCUAGUCCUGGGCCUACCCCGAGGUCUCCUCCCAGCUGGACGUGCCUGGAACACCUCCCUAGGGAGACGUCCUGCGGGCAUCCUUACCAGAUGCCCGAACCACCUCAACUAGCUCCUUUCGACGCAAAGGAGCAGCGGCUCUACUCCGAGUUCCUCACGGAUGGCUGAGCUUCUCAUCCUCUCCCUAAGGGAGAAGCCAGCCACCCUUCUGAGAAAACCCAUUUCAGCUUGUACUCGCAAUCUUGUUCUUCCGGUCAUGACCCAGCCUUCAUGACCAUAUGUAAGGGUAGGAAAGAAAAUUGACCGGUAUAUUGAGAGCUUUGCCUUCUGGUUUAGCUCUCUUUUCAUCACAACGGUGCGGUAAAGCGAAUGCAAUACCGCCCCCGCUGCUACGAUUCUCCGGCCAAUCUCCCGCUCCAUUGUCCCCUCACUUGCGAACAAGACCCCGAGAUACUUGAACUCCUUUACUUGGGGUAACGCCUCAUUCCCUACCCGGAGGAGGCACUCCAUCGGUUUCUUGCUGAGAACCAUGGCCUCUGAAUUAGAGGUGCUAAUCCUCAUCCCAACUGCUUCACACUCGGCUGCGAACCGGUCCAGUGAGUGCUGAAGGUCACAGACCGUUGAUGCCAUCAGGACCACAUCAUCCGCAAAAAGCAGUGAUGAGAUCCCCAGCCCACUGAACUGCAACCCCUCCCCACCCCGACUACGCCUCGAUAUCCUGUCCAUAAAAGUUACAAACAGGAUUGGUGACAAAGCGCAGCCCUGGCGGAGGCCAACCCCCACCUGGAACGAGUCCGACUUACUACCGAGAACCCGAACACAGCUCUCACUUUGGACGUACGGGGAUCGGAUAAAUAUAAACACGCUCAUUCUAAUCAUUCUCCUUCUGUUCUUGAUUUAGGUGUGGUGAACCUCAAUACAAUGCCUGGACUGUAAGGGGGAUAAAGUGUCCCAUUUGAAAUUUUUAUUAGCAGAGAGUGCUUUUUUAUAGAUUUUGUGGGAUACUCCAGUAAAGGGAAGCUUGGAGUUCUCAGAGGAUUUUUAACGGACCCUGAUUUCCUGGACAGUACCCAGAAUGUAAAUUUGAGGGCAGGAGAUUGUAUAUUAGGCUUUUUUAUCCUUUAUUUAUAUAAGUUGUCUCAUUGAGAUAAAAUCUCAUUAAUG